AACAUCGCGCACCUGCGGGAACCUGCGGAAGGAUCAUUAAUGAUUGGUGGCUGUUGCUGACUAGUGUUUCUAGUAUGUGCACGCCACACCUUCAAUCCCACUUACACCUGUGCACCUUCUGUAGUAGAUCUAUGUGGAUACGGAGAUAUGAAAGUUUGCGCUCUCGUACUCUGUUGAAGCAGUCUACUACGUUUUUUUACACACACACAAUAGUCAUUGAAUGUAUUUUUUAUUCUUAUG
RNAcentral lists this unclassified non-coding RNA (240 nucleotides) under soil metagenome. RNAcentral's name for it is "partial contains 5.8S ribosomal RNA, internal transcribed spacer 2, and large subunit ribosomal RNA". The record is from RNAcentral.